CUGGCGGCAUGCUUAACACAUGCAAGUCGAACGAAGACCCGGAGCUUGCUCCGGAUUUCUUAGUGGCGAACGGGUGAGUAACGCGUGGGAAUCUACCUAAAAAUGGGGAAUAACUAUUGGAAACGAUAGCUAAUACCGCAUAAGCCCUCAGGGGUAAAGGCUUCGGUCGUUUUUAGAUGAGCCCGCGUUAGAUUAGGCUGUUGGUGAGGUAAUGGCUCACCAAACCUACAAUCUAUAGCUGGUCUGAGAGGAUGAUCAGCCACACUGGGACUGAGACACGGCCCAGACUCCUACGGGAGGCAGCAGUGGGGAAUAUUGGACAAUGGGGGAAACCCUGAUCCAGCAAUGCCGCGUGAGUGACGAAGGCCUUAGGGUUGUAAAACUCUUUCAGAAGUGAAGAUGAUGACGGUAACUUCAGAAGAAG
Molecule: ribosomal RNA, 424 nt
Filed under: uncultured Alphaproteobacteria bacterium
Lineage: Bacteria; Pseudomonadati; Pseudomonadota; Alphaproteobacteria
Description: bacterial SSU rRNA
Rfam family: Bacterial small subunit ribosomal RNA
Source: RNAcentral